CUCUUGCCUUCUGCCAUGUAAGAUAUGACUGUGCUCCUCCUUCACCUUCUGCCAUGAUUGUGAGGCCUCCACAGCCAUGUGGAACUGGAAGCUGUUUUUCCCUCUUUGGGGUCUCAGAGAGAUUGGUGGCAAGGACUCCUGGGAAGAGAAAAGCUGAAGGACACUCUGGCAAGAGAUGGAGACAGAAACUUGACUGGGCUCAGGAAUAUGUGUUUUUAAAAUUCUCCAGAAGAUUUUAAUGCAGUACAAGUAAGAAGACAGGACUGCAAUUCACAAGAACAGUAUAUCCUGGUGAUUCCUCAGAACAGAACAGACUCAAAAAAAAAAAAAAAAGAAGAAGACAAAAAC
Molecule: long non-coding RNA, 348 nt
Filed under: Homo sapiens (human)
Lineage: Eukaryota; Metazoa; Chordata; Mammalia; Primates; Hominidae
Description: non-protein coding LINC00520:13
Source: RNAcentral